AGCUCCAAUAGCGUAUAUUAAAGUUGUUGCAGUUAAAACGCUCGUAGUCGGAUUUCGGGGCCUGCCUGCCGGUCUGCCGAUGGGUAUGCACUGGCAGGCGCGUCCUUCCUUCCGGAGACUGUCCCUACUCUUAACUGAGCGGGGUCGGGAGACGGAUCGUUUACUUUGAAAAAAUCAGAGUGUUUCAAGCAGGCAGCUCGCUCUUGCAUGGAUUAGCAUGGGAUAAUGAAAUAGGACUUUGGUG
RNAcentral lists this ribosomal RNA (244 nucleotides) under uncultured eukaryote. RNAcentral's name for it is "partial small subunit ribosomal RNA". It matches the Rfam family "Eukaryotic small subunit ribosomal RNA", at positions 587 to 835 of the family's 1831-position model. The record is from RNAcentral.